RNAcentral lists this ribosomal RNA (781 nucleotides) under uncultured bacterium. RNAcentral describes it as "bacterial SSU rRNA". It matches the Rfam family "Bacterial small subunit ribosomal RNA", at positions 28 to 810 of the family's 1533-position model. The record is from RNAcentral.
GAUGAACGCUGGCGGCGUGCUUAACACAUGCAAGUCGAACGGGAAAUAUUUCAUUGAGACUUCGGUGGAUUUGAUCUAUUUCUAGUGGCGGACGGGUGAGUAACGCGUGGGUAACCUGCCUUAUACAGGGGGAUAACAGUCAGAAAUGGCUGCCAAUACCGCAUAAGCGCACAGAGCUGCAUGGCUCAGUGUGAAAAACUCCGGUGGUAUAAGAUGGACCCGCGUUGGAUUAGCUAGUUGGUGGGGUAACGGCCCACCAAGGCGACGAUCCAUAGCCGGCCUGAGAGGGUGAACGGCCACAUUGGGACUGAGACACGGCCUAGACUCCUACGGGAGGCAGCAGUGGGGAAUAUUGCACAAUGGGGGAAACCCUGAUGCAGCGACGCCGCGUGAAGGAAGAAGUAUCUCGGUAUGUAAACUUCUAUCAGCAGGGAAGAUAGUGACGGUACCUGACUAAGAAGCCCCGGCUAACUACGUGCCAGCAGCCGCGGUAAUACGUAGGGGGCAAGCGUUAUCCGGAUUUACUGGGUGUAAAGGGAGCGUAGACGGUGUGGCAAGUCUGAUGUGAAAGGCAUGGGCUCAACCUGUGGACUGCAUUGGAAACUGUCAUACUUGAGUGCCGGAGGGGUAAGCGGAAUUCCUAGUGUAGCGGUGAAAUGCGUAGAUAUUAGGAGGAACACCAGCGGCGAAGGCGGCUUACUGGACGGUAACUGACGUUGAGGCUCGAAAGCGUGGGGAGCAAACAAGAUUCGAUACCCUGGUAGUCCACGCCGUAAACGAC